GACGAACGCUGGCGGCGUGCCUAAUACAUGCAAGUCGAACGCUGAAGAGAGGAGCUUGCUCUUCUUGGAUGAGUUGCGAACGGGUGAGUAACGCGUAGGUAACCUGCCUUGUAGCGGGGGAUAACUAUUGGAAACGAUAGCUAAUACCGCAUAACAAUGGAUGACACAUGUCAUUUAUUUGAAAGGGGCAAUUGCUCCACUACAAGAUGGACCUGCGUUGUAUUAGCUAGUAGGGGAGGUAACGGCUCACCUAGGCGACGAUACAUAGCCGACCUGAGAGGGUGAUCGGCCACACUGGGACUGAGACACGGCCCAGACUCCUACGGGAGGCAGCAGUAGGGAAUCUUCGGCAAUGGGGGCAACCCUGACCGAGCAACGCCGCGUGAGUGAAGAAGGGUGUCGGAUCGUAAAGCUCUGUUGUAAGUCAAGAACGAGUGUGAGAGUGGAAAGUUCACACUGUGACGGUAGCUUACCAGAAAGGGACGGCUAACUACGUG
Molecule: ribosomal RNA, 497 nt
Filed under: uncultured bacterium
Lineage: Bacteria
Description: partial 16S ribosomal RNA
Rfam family: Bacterial small subunit ribosomal RNA
Source: RNAcentral